GACGAACGCUGGCGGCGUGCCUAAUACAUGCAAGUUGAGCGAUGAAGAUUGGUGCUUGCACCAAUUUGAAGAGCAGCGAACGGGUGAGUAACGCGUGGGGAAUCUGCCUUUGAGCGGGGGACAACAUUUGGAAACGAAUGCUAAUACCGCAUAACAACUUUAAACAUAAGUUUUAAGUUUGAAAGAUGCAAUUGCAUCACUCAAAGAUGAUCCCGCGUUGUAUUAGCUAGUUGGUGAGGUAAAGGCUCACCAAGGCGAUGAUACAUAGCCGACCUGAGAGGGUGAUCGGCCACAUUGGGACUGAGACACGGCCCAAACUCCUACGGGAGGCAGCAGUAGGGAAUCUUCGGCAAUGGACGAAAGUCUGACCGAGCAACGCCGCGUGAGUGAAGAAGGUUUUCGGAUCGUAAAACUCUGUUGGUAGAGAAGAACGUUGGUGAGAGUGGAAAGCUCAUAAAGUGACGGUAACUACCCAGAAAGGGACGGCUAACUACGUG
RNAcentral lists this ribosomal RNA (497 nucleotides) under uncultured bacterium. Its description in RNAcentral is "partial 16S ribosomal RNA". It matches the Rfam family "Bacterial small subunit ribosomal RNA", at positions 28 to 507 of the family's 1533-position model. The record is from RNAcentral.